UCUACGGGCGGCAGCAGUGGGGAAUAUUGGACAAUGGGCGAAAGCCUGAUCCAGCCAUGCCGCGUGUGUGAAGAAGGCCUUCGGGUUGUAAAGCACUUUCAGUGGGGAAGAAAGCCUUGGGGCUAAUACCCUCGAGGAAGGACAUCACCCACAGAAGAAGCACCGGCUAACUCCGUGCCAGCAGCCGCGGUAAUACGGAGGGUGCGAGCGUUAAUCGGAAUUACUGGGCGUAAAGCGCGCGUAGGCGGUCUGAUAAGCCGGUUGUGAAAGCCCCGGGCUCAACCUGGGAACGGCAUCCGGAACUGUCAGGCUAGAGUGCAGGAGAGGAAGGUAGAAUUCCCGGUGUAGCGGUGAAAUGCGUAGAGAUCGGGAGGAAUACCAGUGGCGAAGGCGGCCUUCUGGACUGACACUGACGCUGAGGUGCGAAAGCGUGGGUAGCAAACAGGAUUAGAUACCCUGGUAGUC
RNAcentral lists this ribosomal RNA (465 nucleotides) under Vreelandella stevensii. Its description in RNAcentral is "partial 16S ribosomal RNA". It matches the Rfam family "Bacterial small subunit ribosomal RNA", at positions 338 to 795 of the family's 1533-position model. The record is from RNAcentral. Lineage: Bacteria; Pseudomonadati; Pseudomonadota; Gammaproteobacteria; Oceanospirillales; Halomonadaceae.